Molecule: long non-coding RNA, 358 nt
Organism: Argiope bruennichi
Lineage: Eukaryota; Metazoa; Arthropoda; Arachnida; Araneae; Araneidae
Exons: 3
Source: RefSeq, a predicted model, not a curated record
CAACUUUCCAACACAAAAAAAAAGCAGCAAUAAAAACAAUCUUUAAUGUGCUUUCAUGUUAUGACUGAGUGCAAUCUUGAACUCUUGGUGCUCUUUUUGAUAUUUCUAGAAAGAGAAACAUUCGUUUUACUUAAGAAUUUGAUUAACGAUCGCAGUGCCCCCUGUCGCAUAUUGUAGAACUACAACUCCAAAUCAUCGCCGUCAUAUUGUUAAAGCUAAGCCUAGUUCUAUGCGGUUGGAAUGAGACGUUGACCAACAAGAUGGAUGCGAAUGUUAGGAAUAUGGAAAAAGUUGUUAAGAAAGAAGAAACUAAAAUGUUCUAUUUAUGAAGAAUUUGGAUGAAUAACUUCAGAUGACA